CCUACGGGUGGCUGCAGUGGGGGAUAUUGGACAAUGGGGGGAACCCUGAUCCAGCCAUGCCGCGUGUGUGAAGAAGGCCCUCGGGUUGUAAAGCACUUUCAGUGAGGAAGAACGCCUGGUGGUUAAUACCCAUCAGGAAAGACAUCACUCACAGAAGAAGCACCGGCUAACUCCGUGCCAGCAGCCGCGGUAAUACGGAGGGUGCGAGCGUUAAUCGGAAUUACUGGGCGUAAAGCGCGCGUAGGUGGCUUGAUAAGCCGGUUGUGAAAGCCCCGGGCUCAACCUGGGAACGGCAUCCGGAACUGUCAAGCUAGAGUGCAGGAGAGGAAGGUAGAAUUCCCGGUGUAGCGGUGAAAUGCGUAGAGAUCGGGAGGAAUACCAGUGGCGAAGGCGGCCUUCUGGACUGACACUGACACUGAGGUGCGAAAGCGUGGGUAGCAAACAGGAUUAGAUACCCGUGUAGUC
RNAcentral lists this ribosomal RNA (465 nucleotides) under Vreelandella stevensii. Its description in RNAcentral is "partial 16S ribosomal RNA". It matches the Rfam family "Bacterial small subunit ribosomal RNA", at positions 338 to 795 of the family's 1533-position model. The record is from RNAcentral. Lineage: Bacteria; Pseudomonadati; Pseudomonadota; Gammaproteobacteria; Oceanospirillales; Halomonadaceae.